This 73-nucleotide transfer RNA is filed under the name Nonomuraea cypriaca. RNAcentral's name for it is "Nonomuraea sp. K274 tRNA-Met". Lineage: Bacteria; Bacillati; Actinomycetota; Actinomycetes; Streptosporangiales; Streptosporangiaceae. The record is from RNAcentral.
GGCGGGUGAGGGUGCUGGUGUGCCCGGCUGUUUCAUACGCAGCUCCAGGCGGGUUCGAUCCCCGCACCCGCCA